Molecule: long non-coding RNA, 257 nt
Organism: Nyctereutes procyonoides (raccoon dog)
Lineage: Eukaryota; Metazoa; Chordata; Mammalia; Carnivora; Canidae
Exons: 3
Source: RefSeq, a predicted model, not a curated record
CUCCAGGUCGCGGAGGAAUCUGGUCUUGCAACCUGUCUCCCUGCGAAGUCGGAAAAUGCCGUAGCUCCAGCUCAGGGAAGAAGUUAGAAGAAUACUCCGCUGCUUUGGCAUCACCAAGGUGGAUACGUUUUGGGGUGAUUUGUUGCACUGCAAUGGAGAACCAACACAAAGGCCUAGGCACCUUGGACCUCACCCCACAUACCAGAGCGAGGCUUGAGAGUCAAUUACUCCAGCAUCAUUUGCAGGUCAGGAUAAGA